AACGAACGCUGGCGGCAGGCUUAACACAUGCAAGUCGAGCGCCCCGCAAGGGGAGCGGCAGACGGGUGAGUAACGCGUGGGAAUCUACCUUUUGCUACGGAAUAACGCAGGGAAACUUGUGCUAAUACCGUAUGUGUCCUUCGGGAGAAAGAUUUAUCGGCAAGAGAUGAGCCCGCGUUGGAUUAGCUAGUUGGUGGGGUAAAGGCCUACCAGGGCGACGAUCCAUAGCUGGUCUGAGAGGAUGAUCAGCCACAUUGGGACUGAGACACGGCCCAAACUCCUACGGGAGGCAGCAGUGAGGAAUAUUGGACAAUGGGCGCAAGCCUGAUCCAGCCAUGCCGCGUGAGUGAUGAAGGCCCUAGGGUUGUAAAGCUCUUUCACCGGAGAAGAUAAUGACGGUAUCCGGAGAAGAAGCCCCGGCUAACUUCGUGCCAGCAGCCGCGGUAA
This 447-nucleotide ribosomal RNA is filed under the name uncultured Hyphomicrobiales bacterium. Its description in RNAcentral is "bacterial SSU rRNA". It matches the Rfam family "Bacterial small subunit ribosomal RNA", at positions 29 to 523 of the family's 1533-position model. Lineage: Bacteria; Pseudomonadati; Pseudomonadota; Alphaproteobacteria; Hyphomicrobiales. The record is from RNAcentral.